This 350-nucleotide RNase P RNA is filed under the name Clostridiales bacterium. RNAcentral's name for it is "RNase P RNA component class A". It matches the Rfam family "Bacterial RNase P class A". Rfam says of the family: Ribonuclease P (RNase P) is a ubiquitous endoribonuclease, found in archaea, bacteria and eukarya as well as chloroplasts and mitochondria. Its best characterised activity is the generation of mature 5'-ends of tRNAs by cleaving the 5'-leader elements of precursor-tRNAs. Lineage: Bacteria; Bacillati; Bacillota; Clostridia; Eubacteriales. The record is from RNAcentral.
AAAGUCAAUCGGGCAGUCGCGGCGGACCAAAAGGUCCGACGAGGAAAGUCCGAGCAUCGCAGGGCAGGGUGCCGGAUAACGUCCGGCGGAGGCGACUCCAGGGAAAGUGCAAUAGAAAUAAACCGCCGCACUUUUUGCGGUAAGGGUGGAAAGGCAGGGUAAGAGCCUACCGCGCCGGAGGCGACUUUGGCGGCACAUGUAAACCCCACCUGAUGCAAGACGGAAUAGGAAAGCACUAUGGCAGCGGCCCGCUGCGCUUUCGGGUAAACGUCGCUUGAUUCAUAUAGCAAUAUAUGAACUAGACAGAUGGCUGCCUAAAACAGAACUCGGCUUACGGAUUGGCUUUACAC